Molecule: ribosomal RNA, 301 nt
Filed under: uncultured bacterium
Lineage: Bacteria
Description: partial 16S ribosomal RNA
Rfam family: Bacterial small subunit ribosomal RNA
Source: RNAcentral
CAGUAGCCGCGGGAAAACGAGGGGGGCAGGCGUUGUUCGGAAUUACUGGGCGUAAAGCGCACGUAGGCGGCUUGGUAAGUUAGAGGUGAAAGCCCGGAGCUCAACUCCGGAAUUGCCUCUAAGACUGCCGAGCUAGUAGGUGAGAGAGGUAAGUGGAAUUCCGAGUGUAGAGGUGAAAUUCGUAGAUAUUCGGAAGAACACCAGUGGCGAAGGCGGCCAUCUGGGACAACACUGACGCUGAGGCACGAAAGCGUGGGGAGCAAACAGGAUUAGAUACCCCGGUAGUCCCUGUCUCUUAUAA